RNAcentral lists this ribosomal RNA (254 nucleotides) under uncultured bacterium. Its description in RNAcentral is "partial 16S ribosomal RNA". It matches the Rfam family "Bacterial small subunit ribosomal RNA", at positions 524 to 776 of the family's 1533-position model. The record is from RNAcentral.
UACGUAGGGUGCGAGCGUUAAUCGGAAUUACUGGGCGUAAAGCGCGUGUAGGCGGCUCGGUAAGUCUGCUGUGAAAGUCCAGGGCUCAACCCUGGGAUGCCGGUGGAUACUGUCGAGCUCGAGUCCGGAAGAGGCGAGUGGAAUUCCUGGUGUAGCGGUGAAAUGCGCAGAUAGUCAGGAGGAACACCAAUGGCGAAGGCAGCUCGCUGGGACGUGACUGACGCUGAGACGCGAAAGCGUGGGGAGCAAACAGG